Molecule: ribosomal RNA, 142 nt
Filed under: uncultured Clavibacter sp.
Lineage: Bacteria; Bacillati; Actinomycetota; Actinomycetes; Micrococcales; Microbacteriaceae
Description: partial 16S ribosomal RNA
Rfam family: Bacterial small subunit ribosomal RNA
Source: RNAcentral
CCUACGGGAGGCAGCAGUGGGGAAUAUUGCACAAUGGGCACAAGCCUGAUGCAGCAACGCCGCGUGAGGGAUGACGGCCUUCGGGUUGUAAACCUCUUUUAGUCAGGGAAGAAGCGAAAUGACGUACCUGCAGAAAAGCCCG